CUACGGGUUGCUGCAGUGAGGAAUUUUGGACAAUGGGCGAAAGCCUGAUCCAGCCAUUCCGCGUGAGUGAUGAAGGCCUUCGGGUUGUAAAGCUCUUUCGGCCGGGAAGAAAUCGUGCAGGCUAAUAUCCUGCAUGGAUGACGGUACCGGAUCAAGAAGCACCGGCUAACUACGUGCCAGCAGCCGCGGUAAUACGUAGGGUGCGAGCGUUAAUCGGAAUUACUGGGCGUAAAGCGUGCGCAGGCGGAUGUUUAAGCCAGAUGUGAAAUCCCCGGGCUUAACCUGGGAAUGGCAUUUGGAACUGGACAUCUAGAGUGUGUCAGAGGGGGGUGGAAUUCCACGUGUAGCAGUGAAAUGCGUAGAGAUGUGGAGGAACACCGAUGGCGAAGGCAGCCCCCUGGGAUAACACUGACGCUCAUGCACGAAAGCGUGGGGAGCAAACAGGAUUAGAUACCCUGGUAGUC
This 464-nucleotide ribosomal RNA is filed under the name uncultured bacterium. RNAcentral's name for it is "partial 16S ribosomal RNA". It matches the Rfam family "Bacterial small subunit ribosomal RNA", at positions 339 to 795 of the family's 1533-position model. The record is from RNAcentral.